Molecule: ribosomal RNA, 268 nt
Filed under: uncultured Faecalibacterium sp.
Lineage: Bacteria; Bacillati; Bacillota; Clostridia; Eubacteriales; Oscillospiraceae
Description: partial 16S ribosomal RNA
Rfam family: Bacterial small subunit ribosomal RNA
Source: RNAcentral
UUGAUUCAUUUGAGGUGACUGAGUGGCGAACGGGUGAGUAACGCGUGAGGAACCUGCCUCAAAGAGGGGGAUAACAGUUGGAAACGACUGCUAAUACCGCAUAAGCCCACGGCUCGGCAUCGAGCAGAGGGAAAAGGAGUGAUCCGCUUUGAGAUGGCCUCGCGUCCGAUUAGCUGGUUGGUGAGGUAACGGCCCACCAAGGCGACGAUCGGUAGCCGGACUGAGAGGUUGAUCGGCCACAUUGGGACUGAGACACGGCCCAGACUCC